This 447-nucleotide ribosomal RNA is filed under the name uncultured bacterium. RNAcentral describes it as "bacterial SSU rRNA". It matches the Rfam family "Bacterial small subunit ribosomal RNA", at positions 355 to 825 of the family's 1533-position model. The record is from RNAcentral.
UCGGGAAUUUUGGGCAAUGGGCGAAAGCCUGACCCAGCAACGCCGCGUGAAGGAUGAAGUAUUUCGGUAUGUAAACUUCGAAAGAAUAGGAAGAAUAAAUGACGGUACUAUUUAUAAGGUCCGGCUAACUACGUGCCAGCAGCCGCGGUAAUACGUAGGGACCAAGCGUUGUUCGGAUUUACUGGGCGUAAAGGGCGCGUAGGCGGCAAUUCAAGUCAUCUGUGAAAUCUCUGGGCUUAACCCAGAACGGCCAAGUGAUACUGUCGCGCUAGAGUGCAGAAGGGGCAAUCGGAAUUCUUGGUGUAGCGGUGAAAUGCGUAGAUAUCAAGAGGAACACCUGAGGUGAAGACGGGUUGCUGGGCUGACACUGACGCUGAGGCGCGAAAGCCAGGGGAGCAAACGGGAUUAGAUACCCCUGUAGUCCCUGAGCGGGCUGGCAAGGCGCAU